UCCACUUUUGGGCCUCUCUGUAAGAAAUGAAUGAUAAAACAGCCUUUUCUAUUGCUUUAUGCUUUAAAAUAAUGUGUAAAUUUCUGAGUGAAAGAAAAUCAGUCACUUUAGAAAUUUAAAAUGCUGUCUUUUUGACUCAAUAAUAAGUAGAAACAGUAUGUUUUCACAUUGUUGAGUACUUCAAAAUGCAUAAUUUCUAGUUCUAUUUUUUUCUUGAUGUUCUUUCAUUGCUUUUCAAAUAAAUGAAACUCAAGGACAUGUUUAGUCCAGCAACUCUAAGCUCCAUGUAGCAGAGGUGAGAUGUCUGACACAAACAAACCAUUCCAAAAGGGCAAGUUCACAUGUGGUUUUGCUCACCUUUGAGACCCCAGCUGGCGACAGAGUGCUUGGUAUUUAACGGCUCAGCUGUGAUGCCCCGACUCACUAUCUGGCUGACUUCAUGAGUCCAUUUCACCAACCCCAGCAGUCCUUGCCAUGUGAAGGAGCCACCCCUGGAUGCUUCUGUCACUAUGGAUCUAGCUACUCCACUUUCCCAAGCCUGCUGUGAUGGACAGCAAUCCUCUAAAACCAUGAGCUGAAAUAAACCUUUCACCCUUCAA
Long non-coding RNA from Nannospalax galili (Upper Galilee mountains blind mole rat), 599 nucleotides. RefSeq lists it as uncharacterized. NCBI's taxonomy places the organism in Eukaryota, Metazoa, Chordata, Mammalia, Rodentia, Spalacidae. The transcript has 3 exons. The record is from RefSeq and is a predicted model, not a curated record.